AUGGCCAUUCAGGCCUUGACUCUGAAUUUUGUCCGAGCGGCUGUGAAACCGGAUCCAUUGCCUCGUCAGAAUGCUUGGAAGAAGCCACUGUCCGGGAUGCAGGUUCUGAACGUAGAUACUUCAUUUAUGGAAGAUGAUCAUACGGGAUCCUGCGGAAUGGUAGUGAGAGAUCAUAACGGUGGAUUUAUAGUAGCAGCAGUAACUCAGCAUGUUGCGAAUGCAGUAGCAGCUGAGGCCGAGGCUAUGCACCAGGGUAUCAUGUUCAUACGCGGCCUCGGGUGUGAUAGCAUUGUGAUACAGUCUGAUAGCUUGAUCAUCGUGGAAGCACUGAGGAUGAAUGAAGGGUAUGCUUUGGUGGCAGCGCCAAUUCUUGAGGAUUUCCGUAAGUUAUCUGCAGAUUUUGGGAAGGUCAUUAUCGAACAUUGUAGUAGAGAAUCGAACAUGGUUGCUCACGAGCUUGCUAGCUAUGGGAGGGGUAAUCCACCGACGGUGUGGUCGGAUACUCCCCCCUCUUUCAUUUUAAAUGCUUUAGCAAACGGUGUAAGUUUAUUAUAA
Molecule: ribosomal RNA, 555 nt
Filed under: Triticum aestivum (bread wheat)
Lineage: Eukaryota; Viridiplantae; Streptophyta; Magnoliopsida; Poales; Poaceae
Description: partial small subunit ribosomal RNA
Source: RNAcentral